GUGACAAGCCGUAUCAUCUUCCAAUGCCUGAUCUUGUCUGAUCUGUGAAGCUAAGCGGGGUCGGACCUUGUUAGCAUUUGGAUGGGAGAUCACUGCAUACCAGGUGCCAUA
This 111-nucleotide ribosomal RNA is filed under the name Periophthalmus magnuspinnatus. The record is from RNAcentral. Lineage: Eukaryota; Metazoa; Chordata; Actinopteri; Gobiiformes; Gobiidae.